GUCGUAAAGGUGCAUGAGUGGUGUUUGGUUUGUUACGUGUGGUUGGCUGCGGCGUUUGCAACAACUUCCAUGCUUUCAGACCUCUUCAGUCGUGCGGCAAGGCUUGUAUCGCCUUGAGCGUAUUGUGGGUUUUCUGUGUUGGCUACCUAAUCAAUGGUAUCGGUUGGAUUGAUCAAUGUUUCAUUUCGUCUACCGUCGCAUUCGCGGCGUGAGAUGAACCUUGAUGCGGUCUCUUUGAUCCACCUCGUCGAAGCGCAUGCUUUGGCGUUGUGGCACAUUGAGCAUUGCUUGGUCUCUUGUAUACGGAACAUAUAGUGGGCAUGGAUCUAACGAUUCUCGUUUGCCCUCAUAUUAGCGUAACGCUUCUCUUACACGACUUGCWCCACGUUUUAGCUCGUACGGACGUGGU
This 409-nucleotide unclassified non-coding RNA is filed under the name Artemisia karatavica. RNAcentral describes it as "partial external transcribed spacer". Lineage: Eukaryota; Viridiplantae; Streptophyta; Magnoliopsida; Asterales; Asteraceae. The record is from RNAcentral.